UAGGUAGUUUCAAGUUGUUGGGCUGGACGUUUAAUUUCACAGGAACCUGAAACUGCCUGAA
This 61-nucleotide microRNA precursor is filed under the name Danio rerio (zebrafish). RNAcentral describes it as "Dre-Mir-196-P3a_pre stem-loop". Lineage: Eukaryota; Metazoa; Chordata; Actinopteri; Cypriniformes; Danionidae. The record is from RNAcentral.